This 631-nucleotide ribosomal RNA is filed under the name Klebsiella pneumoniae. Its description in RNAcentral is "partial 23S ribosomal RNA". It matches the Rfam family "Bacterial large subunit ribosomal RNA", at positions 1132 to 1765 of the family's 2925-position model. The record is from RNAcentral. Lineage: Bacteria; Pseudomonadati; Pseudomonadota; Gammaproteobacteria; Enterobacterales; Enterobacteriaceae.
GCGUAAUAGCUCACUGGUCGAGUCGGCCUGCGCGGAAGAUGUAACGGGGCUAAACCAUGCACCGAAGCUGCGGCAGCGACACUAUGUGUUGUUGGGUAGGGGAGCGUUCUGUAAGCCUGCGAAGGUGACCUGUGAGGGUUGCUGGAGGUAUCAGAAGUGCGAAUGCUGACAUAAGUAACGAUAAAGCGGGUGAAAAGCCCGCUCGCCGGAAGACCAAGGGUUCCUGUCCAACGUUAAUCGGGGCAGGGUGAGUCGACCCCUAAGGCGAGGCCGAAAGGCGUAGUCGAUGGGAAACAGGUUAAUAUUCCUGUACUUGGUGUUACUGCGAAGGGGGGACGGAGAAGGCUAUGUUAGCCGGGCGACGGUUGUCCCGGUUUAAGCAUGUAGGCUGGUUGUCCAGGCAAAUCCGGAUAAUCAAGGCUGAGGUGUGAUGACGAGGCACUACGGUGCUGAAGUAACAAAUGCCCUGCUUCCAGGAAAAGCCUCUAAGCAUCAGGUAACAUCAAAUCGUACCCCAAACCGACACAGGUGGUCAGGUAGAGAAUACCAAGGCGCUUGAGAGAACUCGGGUGAAGGAACUAGGCAAAAUGGUGCCGUAACUUCGGGAGAAGGCACGCUGGUGUGUAGGUGA